GUGUAGCCCUGAUGGAAGCGACAUCCGCGACGCAGGAGGGAUAUAGCGAACAGCAGGAAUUACG
Molecule: small RNA, 64 nt
Filed under: Flavobacterium rivuli WB 3.3-2 = DSM 21788
Lineage: Bacteria; Pseudomonadati; Bacteroidota; Flavobacteriia; Flavobacteriales; Flavobacteriaceae
Description: Flavo-1 RNA
Rfam family: Flavo-1 RNA
Source: Rfam by way of RNAcentral